UUUCGAGUUUCGCGGACGAAACCCCUUUUUAGGAGGGGUGAAUGUAACACACUGGACCUUUGCAAAUUGCGAGGUUCAAGUGUUUGAUCUGUGUUCCGAGCUUUGCCAGAUAUUCUGGAAGGUCGUUGACAGUGUUUUGACCUAUGGCUCGCAUCCCAAGAAUUGAGGUUUAAAGCUUGUACCAAAAUCCAAAAAGAUGGAUUGUUGGUCCUGCUCUCGGGUCAGCCUCAGCCAGGCUGUGUACCGGUACAGCCUUGAUGGUUGUACUGGUACAGGAUUUGUACCGAUACACCUUGAUGAUUGUACCGGUACACUUCGGGUUUUCUACCAACCCGAGGCUCGGGUUGGGCUGUUUCAUAGGAAGUGUACCGGUACACUUUCCCGUGUACCGGUACACUUUCCCGUGUACCGGUACACAAUGCAGACUGGGCUGUUUUCGAGGAGGGGUGUAUUUGCAAUUAUUGCAACCUCUUUAAAUACCACCCCAGCCCCUUUAGCUGCUCUUUUGAGCCCUAGACCUGUGGAGAAAAGGUGAGAACUCUUCCCCUUUGGAUUCUUCUCCAUUUUUGGUGGAUUUUAGUUGGUUUUGAUCUCUCCUUUCUUCUCCUCCUUGUUUUUUGUUGGGUUUCCUCCAUUGUUGAGACUUGGAGCUUGAAGAAGAGCUUGUUUGAGAAGAGAUCUCCAACCCUACUUGGUUUGGAGCUUGGUUUGGGGCAUCUUGUGAGGUUUGUAGCAUGUAUUUCUCUUUUCAUACAUGUUUUAGUGGAUUUGGAUCUUGUAACCCUAGAUUUUGAGAUUUAGGGUUAGAACUAGGAACUUUUGAUUUGAGGCUUCUAGAACCAAAUUGAUUGGUUUAGAAUCAUGGUUUAGGUUGGCUUUGAAGGAUUCUUACUCCCUUUUGGAAAUCAAGAGAGAUUUUCACCAUUUUCGGUGAGUUUUUAGCCCUUUCUUUGAGUUGCUUAAUGUUUGAACUCAUGAAUUGUCGUUUCGAUGUUACUCCCCUAGCCUAUCUCUUAGGGUGCUAGGAGUGAUUAUCGAAGCUUCGUUAGCGUUUCGGACGCCCGCGCGGAGCUUUUGGUGGGUUCGGCUUCAUGUGAAUAGGGGAAAAUUCCUCCUAAGGGGUUAAUAUGUGUUGUAUUAUCAUUUUGCAUGCAUUUUCAUACUAGAUAGGAUUUAUGUGAAUUUUGAAUACUUAAAAUGCAUGUGUUGCGUAUCAUGAAAAUCCUUCUCUACAUAGUAGAGCAUUAUGUGUAGUGUACAUGAAUGUUUAAAGUAUUCUCUUUUUCAAGUUGGAAAAUAUGUUGCAUGUGAGGAAGAUGGUUGAAAUAUGUAUUCAUGAAUAUUAAACUCAUGUUUGAAUAUAGUGAACUAGAAUGCCAUAAAGGGGCACUUGACUUAGCAAAUUGUGAAAUUGCAACAUAGAGACAUAGUGAUAGGCCAUCGAGACAUAUGCUAUAUUUCAUGUUUUAGACAUGACGACAUAGUGAUAGGCCAUUGAGAUAUUUUCCACAUUCCAUGUUUUAGACAUGAUGACUUGGUAUUUGAGACGGACUUUUACGCUUGCUUGCCAUUGUGCUCAUUCACACAUGCUUGUAAGGGUCGCUCCCUACAAGCCGGCACUCCGGAGAUAGCCAUCGCGACAUAUGCUCGCUCGUGCGGGAUUGGGCGCCGAAAUGGAAUGCCGUGGGGGAAGCUCAUUCCUAGAGUGGGGAUGUUGACUACCACGGGGCCAUUAGGCACGGCGCAGGCCAGACAGCCUACGGAUGGGUCUUACAUGAUUGGAACUUAGUGACAGAACAUGCCAUUUGGACUUUGACCAGAAUAGUAAACAAUGACAUUUACUAUUUAGCUUGUGGACAUUAUGUUAGUGAUGCUCGUUUAUAUUCUGUUACAGUAGCUUUAUUACUUAUGCAAUUCAUGCUAAGUAGAGAUAUCAUGUUGUAGUAAGUUACAUGUUUACUUACAUAUCGAUUCUAUUGCUUUUAUUGUUACUUACCUGUUUAGCUCUUUUGGGCCUAGUGGUGCUUUCACUGAAGUCAGUAAUUGCCACUGGGAACUAUUAUUUAAUAGUUCUCACGCCCCCGUUUCUAUGGUUUUAUUUCAGAGCCCUCUACACCGGUGGAGGCACGGGACCGCGGCAAGGGGAUCGCUUAGCUAGCUAGCGAGGAGCGUUUCUUUUGCAUUUUGGUAGUUCGCUCUCCUUUUGUUGUAGUUGAGAGAGAGAGAGUUAUGUUAGUACCUUGUAUAGAGAGACCACCUAUGUAUCUGGUUUAGCAUUUGUACUUUGGAUGUUUAUUGUACUACUUUCUAUUUUUUCUUAGUGGAUUUAGCUCUAUAUUCAUUUCGGUUAUUGUAGCAUCUAGACAUACUUGCUCUGAUACUGCUAGAUGUUUUCUUUAUCUUGCUUUAUUUAUCGUUUUAUUUUAGACGCCUUAUAUGUUUUAGACGUAUGCCGGGUCUGGGCACGUGCCGGGCGGGCUUUCGCUGGGUCCCGGGGCGUGACAACGGAACUCAUAGCAAGUAUGAUCCAUUCUUAACUCUAAGGAUAUAUAGUUCAAUCAUUGUCUUUACACUAACUCUAGUGUUCUUUACAUCACUUUAUUUUGCUAACUCUAGCAAUCAUCGUUCUUUAACUUUACUCGUUCUUUAUGCCAAACUUUGCAUUAACUUUAACCAUUAUCAUUGUUCUUUUCAUCACAUUGAUUCUUUGAUGCCACACACUAACUUUAGUGUCGACUAUAUACUUUCGAAUGCCACUCGAUCUAUGCUCAUUGUGUCUCGUUGUUCUUUUGCCUCACUUGGGUGCUCACAUUUUAUCUCAUGCAUACAUAUAGGGUUAAACAUUCAUAGGGGUUCUCAACCAUCUCAUUAGGCAAAUUGUACUCACAACAUGCAACAUUACAUUAUUCUCAUUACAUAUACCCUACUAUGCUUGCAACAAUGUAUAUAACAUAUACUCAAUUGAAUGACACACUAGGCAUAGAAGGAAGUUCAACGAGUUUGGAUAGCACCACCCACCUCGUAGGUUCUCAAAGGUGCUCCGACGAUUUUCUUGGGAUUUUUAGACACCCGGUUCGCUACCUGCGAGUUAACGAAGCCAAAUUAGGCUUAUUUGGCCGUAACUUUACAUCGGGUUUUCGUAACGUUAAUCCGAGCACACCAACGCGUCGGAAAUACCCCCAAUUAGGUUUCUAGAGGGUCAAUUGCACUUUAGAACCCUCGCAAGCAAAAGCCCCAAUUUUGGUGCCCUAGCUCAUAACAUACAUCAAACCUAGGGUUUGAUCUCAUUGGGAAGCAAAAGAAGCUUCAUUCUACGCUAAAGACUCCACAAAAACCAUCUUUAGUUCAAUCCAAACCCUAGUUUGGAUUCUACCAUGAGAGGGGUUGAAGCUCUCCUUCAAGCUUCACCUUCCACACCAUUCCAUGGUUUUGAUCUCAAAAUGAAGCAAAAGAUAGCUUCAAACACUCUAUAGGUUCUAUUAAAACCAUUUCUAGGUCCAUCCAAACCCUACUUUGAGCUUUACCACUAUUGGGGUUCAAAGCUUACCUUGUAAGCUUUCCUUUUCCAAGCUAGGGAAGGAGAGGAGGGGUCUUCUUCUCUUCCUUGCCUUCUUCUUCACCUUCUUCCUCUUCUUUUCCUUUCUUCUUCUUGUCUUCUUCUUCUCCUUCUUGUCUUCUAGAGAGAGAAAGAGAGAUGAGAGGGGGAGUGUGAGGGAGAGAAUGAGAUGAAAAGCCCUCAAAGCCCCCCACUUAACCAUUGGGUUGCACAAAUGCAAAUAGGCCCCUCAACUUUCACUUUAUUGAACUGCUUGAACUGGGCAGUUUUCGGGUUCGGGGACCGGUCUCCCAACUUGGGACCGGUCCCAGAGAGCUCUCCCGCAGCUCAGUGAGGGCCUUCGCACGAGGCAACCGGUCUCUCCCACAGAGACCGGUCUCUCGGGGACCGGUCUCUCCCCGCAGGGACCGGUUCCCGAGAGCUGGUUUUCUGGGACUUAGCCGAUUUGCAGCCUUUCUCAUUUCUCACGCGUUCGGGGACCGAUCUCUACCACCAGGGACCGGUCCCCGAGAGCUCAAAAACUGUAGUUUGCAGAUUUUUGAUUCUUUAGCUCUCGAAAACCUCCCACAACGCAUUUUUGAUCAUUUUAACACCUUCGGACUUUCCGAAGUGUACCACCCUCGCACUUUGGUCAAUUUGACUAAAGUUCGAUAUUUAUUUUUCAAAUUUUCGGUAUAUUACAUUCUCCACCCUUAAAAUAAUUUCGUCCGCGAAAUUACGCAUACCUUAACUCGUCGAUUCAAAUAGAUGUGGAUACUCUCUCCGCAUGAUCUCCUCGAGCUCCUAAGUGGCUUCUCGCGCCGCAUGGUUGCUCCAUUGGACCUUCACAUAUGGAAUUCUGCGACUCCGCAGCUUCCUUUCUUCUCGAUCGAGGAUGCACACCGGGUACUCCUCGUAAGACAUAUCUUCACGUAGCUCCACGGGCUCGUACUCCAAUAUAUGUGUCGAGUUUCGAAUAUACUUUCGGAGAUUUGACACAUGAAAAAUAUUGUGAACUCCUGCGAGUCUCGAUGGUAGUGCGAGCUUGUAUGCUACCGCACCCACACGCUCCAAUAUCUCAAACGGUCCGACAUAACAGGGACUUAGCUUCUCGUGGACCCCAAACCGCUUUACUCCUCGCAUCGGCGAUACUCUCAAAAAUACGCGGUCUCCAACCGCGAACUCUAAAUCUUUUCUUCUCUUGUCGGCAUAACUCUUUUGCCGAGAUUGUGCCGCCGCUAACCGUUGACGGGCAAGGCGAACUGUAAUGCAUUGGAAAAUUGACCUUGAGCUAAUUGUAAUCAAGUUGAUCACAAUGAUGUCAAAAUAGAAAUUAAGUGUUAAUGAACUUAAUUAGUAGAUUGAGAACAACAAUUGACUUAUUUUGGAACUGUGUAAGUGGGCUCGAAGUGAAUCGGAAGUGCCAAGUGUCACGCCCCGCCCCGAAACCACUACCAAUUUGGCACGGUUCGGUCGCGGCGACAGACCGCCGAACGGACAGCACCUCCCCUGUCCACCCAAGGCUCAACAACAGGAAUGUGUACAAGGAUUUACCCAGGACUUUAAAUUCUAAACAUACACAUUCAACGAGGGCACAAACAGUGCCAACAACGAGAAGAGCAAGUAAUCCACAAGAUAUAGUAUGUGAAAUAAAGAGAGUACUUUACUAACUAUUACAAUAGUUACAUUCUUUACAUUUACAUCAUUCUCCAAAAUGAAUACAUUUGAUCCUCAAAAUACAUAGCUCUCCAACCUCACCAUCAUGAAUCUCUCUCAAUACAUAGGUGUGCUAAUGCAAAAAGGGAAGCUACUAUACUACCACGGUCUCACUGAUCGGGCGCGAUGCCCUUGCCGCGGUCCUCUCUCGGCAACCCUGUACCUACCACUGGAAAUGGGAUGGGGUGAGAACUAUAUUCCAUAGAUUCCCAGUGGUCGGCCGCCGACUCUGCUGAUUCUCCCACUAGUGUCAAGUUGGGCAUCAGAGCAACAAACAGGUAGAUAGAUAGAUAGAUAUCUGAAAGUUUGUAAUAUGCAAGUUAGUAGCGAAAACUAUGCUUACAUAUGCCCAUAAUCAUGUAAUGUGGAUGCACUGCAUCUAAUAAAUAAGUUUUUACCAGGGCUAACAGAUGUCAUAUCCAUGUUCGAAUAGCUUAGUGUUCAAUGACAUUUAUUAACAACCUUAACUCUUUAUUUACCCAAUCUGUGGCGAGGCCUUAGGGCUGGCCAAUUACUCAGUCUUCAAAUCCCAAAGUGUGGGAAGUGGAGCUCCAAGUGACACCAGCCCGGGACCGUCUGGGGACUCAUUGGUCCGGACCUCCAAGUGGUCCUAGUUCGCGGUGACACUCGCGGACACUCGACGACAAUCCCUCCUAUGUGGGGAAUUGGAUGGCUAUACACCCUAACGCGACUGUGAGCCUAAUCUAUCCUCGAGUGAGGGAUACACUUGACAACUAGGUCAACACCAAGUCGCAGAUCUCUCAAGUAAUGGAGGCUCUACAACAGCUAGCGCUCACAUAAUCCAACUCGAAUCCUCUCCAAGUGAGGAAGCACUCUAUAACUAGAGUCAACAUCUCUCGCGGGAUCAUUUGUUCCCGACAUCCAUGCAAUGCUAUUUAGUUUUCUAAAUUCAUUGUUCACAAGGCAUUUUCUAAGGGAUCCACCUAUCCCUAGGUCCAUCGACCUCUAGUGUCAUUUACACUACAUUAAUGCCACUCGUCAUCAUUUAACAUUUGGAUGCCACUCGUGUGUUCUUUAACACUAAACACUACUUUCUAUGUCAUCAAUACCCCCAUCGGGUUCACCUCUUUUCUUUUACAUCAUAGGAUCCACGUUCCGACCCAAUCCUCACCUAUCUAAGUUACCAAGCGUUCCAAGUACACUAGGUUAUCAUUUAGAAAGCAUAAGGAAUGGAGCUACUAUGCAAUCCUACAAUGCAACAUGAAGAGAUGAGAUCAAAUGCAAUCUAAGACAUAGAAAGGAGUUCGAAAGCUUCGGGAUGACACCCCCCACCUUUUACCAACGUAGAGGUUUUAGAAGCGCUCCUCGACGAGCUUUACGAAAAGGCUUUUGCCUUCCCUAAUCCAAGAUAGCGCCGAAACGACCGUAAUUCGCCGAUUGUUCUAAGUCCGCUCGACGAAUCGCGAAAUCGACUUCGCCCCCGCGUUUGGGCACCUAUCGAUGAGGUUUACAAGGCCUCAAAUGAGAUCAAUCUCAUACUUUACAAAAUGCCCCCAUUUGGAGCCCUAGGUUUGCACAUAUAGCAAACCACCAAUAAAAUCCUAGAUUCUUGGGAUUGAUCUACUUAGAAGCAUGCUUGGGGUCCAUUUGACCCAUUCCAAAGCAUAAAAACCCAAAGCCCUAAGUUUACAAAGUAGGGUUUAGUAGCUUACCUCAAGAGCUACACCAAUGGGAAGAGGAGAGGGAGAUGGAGGUGCUCCAAGCCUUCCUCUUGAUCUCCUUCUUUUUCUCCUUCCUUAUCUUCUUCCUCUUUUCCUUCCUCUCCUUCUUGUUCUCCUUCUCCUUCUUUCCUUUCUAGAGAGAGAGGGAGAGAAAUAGAGAGAUGAGAGUGAGAGAGAGGAAUGAGAGAGUGUGAGGGAGAGAGAGGGCCCAGCCCACUCUAAUAAAGGCCAUUUUGCAUUUAGACCCCUCAACUUUUAACCCCUUGCGCAGCCCUCGCUGGGCAGUUUUCGUGCAGAGGGACCGGUCUCCCCGACUUGGGACCGGUCCCCGAGAGCUUCCCUCGGGCGCACGCGUUCGGGUACCGGUCUCUCCCCGGGAGACCGGUCCUCGGGAGACAGGUCCUCGCCUGAGAGACCGGUCCCCGAGAGCUCAAUUUUCAGGACUUAGCCAAAUCUCGGCAUUUCUCGCUGGAACCACGUUCGGGAACCGGUCCCUCACUGCCAGGGACCGGUUGCACCAUGCAACCCCGCACGCCCAGCCGAUGGGACCGGUCUCUCACCUCCAGAGACCGGUCCCCGAGAGCAACUUCAGCCCAAUAAUGCUGUUUGCAUCGUUAGCUCUCGUGGACUCAACUCCAAAGCACUUUUUGUGUUUUGGACAUUUUUAACUUCCCCAGAGGGUAUUCUCUCAACAAAUAGUCGAUCCUGGACGAAGUAUAACUCUCGAAUUUCGAGAAUUCACUUCCUUACAUUCUCCCCUCCUUAAAAGGAGUUUCGUCCUCGAAACGAACAAAUUCUUUAACUUUUAAUUUAAACUUAUACCUCACUCCUCAAACAGAUGAGGAUGGUGCUUUCUCAUCAGAUCCUCGAGUUCCCAGGUGGCCUCGCGAUCAUCAUGAUUGCUCCACCUGACCUUUACAUAGGGAAUUUCUCGAUUCCUCAACUUUCGCACCUCUCGGGCGAUAAUUCCUACCGGAAACUCUUCAUAGCUCAAGUCUCCUUGAAGUUCCGGCGGUUCAUAUAGCAUCGCAUGCUCCGGGUCGUGAAUAUACUUGCGGAGAUUGGAGACAUGGAACACAUUGUGCACAUCCGCAAGUUUCGGCGGUAAAGCAAGCCGAUACGCCACCGUACCAACUCGCUCCAAUAUCUCAUAUGGCCCAAUGUACCGGGGACUCAGUUUUCCCCGUACUCCAAACCGCUUCACACCACGCAUUGGUGAAACCUUCAGAAAUACGCGGUAACCCACCGCGAACUCUAUAUCUCGUCGGCGCCUAUCUGCAUAGCUUUGCUACCUCGACUGCGCCGUGAGCAAUCUCUUGCGAGCAAGGCGGACUUUCUCCUCCGCUUCUCGCAACACAUCAGGGCCGAACUCUGCCCGUUCACCUACAUCGCUCCAAUGUAUAGGAGACCGACACGUCCGCCCAUAAAGAGCUUCGAACGGUGCCAUCUCUAUACUCGCAUGAUAACUGUUAUUGUAGGCGAACUCGGCCAUAGGUAGGUGAUCACACCAACUUCCCUUAUAGUCGAUGACACACGCUCGCAACAUAUCCUCCAGAGUUUGAAUGGUUCUCUCUGUUUGCCCAUCGGUUUGAGGAUGAAAUGCGGUACUAAAAUCGAGCCGUGUGCCAAGGGCUUCUUGCAGGCUUUUCCAAAAGUGUGAAGUGAACCGGGGGUCACGAUCCGACACGAUCGAUUUCGGCACCCCAUGCAGUCUCACUAUCUCGUCAAGAUAUACCCGCGCUAACUUGUCACCCGACCACGUGGUGUGGAUCGGCAAGAAGUGAGCCGACUUCGUCAAUCGGUCCACAAUUACCCAAAUUGCAUCGUGGCCGCCCGUUGAGCGAGGCAAGCUGACCACGAAGUCCAUCGAUAUAUCUUCCCAUUUCCAAACGGGGAUUGGUAGGCUUUGAAGCUUUCCCGCUGGAAAUCUACGCUCUGCCUUCACUUGCUGGCAUGUUAAGCACUUCGCCACAAAGCGUCCAACAUCACCCUUCAUUCCCGGCCACCAAUAGUGCAUUUUUAGUCCUUGAUACAUCUUGGUGCCGCCCGGGUGAUCAGCAUACGGAGAUCUGUGUGCUUCUUGUAGAAUCAACUCGCGAAGCUCUCCAUCCUUCGGCACACACCAUCGGUUUCUAAACCGAAGCGCACCAUCGGCGUUUAUACUAAAAUCGCCGCCUCGACCAUCCUCGAUGUUUCGCCGCACCUUCUGGAGUUCUGGGUCCGCAGGUUGCAGAUCUUUAAUCCUCUCCAACAAGGUCGGUUGGACAACGAGUGCCAUCAACUGGGCUGGAAUCUCGGGAGGAACCACUUCAAGGUCCAAUCGCUUCAUAUCCAGCCACAGGGGUGUUUGCUGGGUAACAUCAAAAGCGAGAUUCUUCGCCGACUUUCUACUCAGCGCAUCCGCAACCACAUUUGCCUUCCCGGGGUGGUAGAGGAUAUCGACAUCAUAAUCCUUUAACAACUCCAACCACCGCCGCUGACGCAUAUUGAGCUCCUUCUGAGUAAACAAGUACCUUAAGCUCUUGUGGUCGGUAUAAAUCUCACAAUGGGCACCAUAUAAGUAGUGCCUCCACAGCUUCAGGGCGAAAAUUACCGCCGCCAGCUCCAAGUCGUGGAUGGGGUAAUUCUUCUCAUAGCUCUUCAGCUGACGGGAUGCAUAAGCAAUCACCUUCCUGUUUUGCAUCAAUACACACCCCAACCCAAGAUAGGAAGCAUCACUGUAGACUACGAAGUCUUCGCCUUCCACCGGUAGAGCGAGCACCGGAGUUGAAGUCAAUCUUUGCUUCAACUCUUUGAAACUUCGGUCGCACUCCUCGCUCCAAACAAACUUGGUGCCUUUCUGGGUCAGGCGGGUAAGUGGAAUUACUAUCUUGGAGAAGCCUUCCACAAACCGCCUAUAAUAGCCCGCCAAGCCCACGAAGCUUCGAACCUCCGUGACGUUCGUCGGGCGCGGCCAAUCCUUGAUUGCCUCAACUUUCCUCGGGUCUACUGAAACUCCACCCGCGGAAAUCACAUGCCCUAAGAAGGCGACUUCGCGAAGCCAGAAGUCACACUUCUUUAGCUUAGCAUAUAGCUUCUCCUCCCGAAGGACUUGAAGCAGUUUCCUCAAAUGUUCGGCAUGUUCCUCGUCACUUCGAGAAUAGACCAAUAUGUCGUCUAUAAAGACCACGACAAAUUGGUCCAGAUACUCUCUGAAGACACGGUUCAUCAAAUCCAUAAACGCCGCUGGAGCAUUCGUGAGUCCAAAUGGCAUAACCGUGAACUCGUAGUGUCCAUACCGCGUACGAAACGCGGUCCUUUGCACAUCCUCCGGUUUGAUCUUCAAUUGAUGGUAGCCGGAUUACAAGUCUAUUUUCGAGUACACACACGACCCUUGCAACUGAUCGAACAGGUCAUCGAUUCAGGGUAGUGGGUACUUGUUCUUGAUCGUGACUCUAUUCAAUUCUCGAUAAUCCACGCAGAGCCUAAACGAUCCAUCCUUCUUCCUCACGAAUAACACCGGGGCUCCCCACGGUGAUACACUCGGCCGGAUAAAUUGCUUGUCAAGGAGGUCUUGUAGUUGACUCCUCAACUCCCUUAGUUCCGCCGGCGCCAUUCGGUACGGAGCCUUCGAGAUCGGCGCGGUACCGGGAACCAAGUCUAUGACGAACUCGAUCUCCCGAUCCGGUGGUAUCCCCAGCAACUCUGCGGGAAACACAUCCGGGAACUCCCGCACUACCGAGAUCUCCUCCAACAUUGGAGUGACUCGUUCCACCUCUACAACGGUCGCCAAGAACGCUGCACAACCGUUGCUCACCAACUUUCUUGCUCUCGUCGCCGACACCGUCGCGACGAAACACGUGCUCUGGCAAGCUCGAUAGGUGAAUUCUUUCUGUCCUGGCCCACGAAACGUGAUCACCCUGCUCUUGCAGUCAAUCGUGGCGUGGUAUUUCGAGAGCCAGUCCAUACCCAGAAUAACAUCAUAAGCCUCAAGCUUCUGGAGUCCUAGUGUCCGAAUAGGCAUUAUCCAUUCGCCUAUUUGUACCGGACACGAGGCGCACUCUGUGUAGGUAUUGAAUGUCGAUCCAGGGCCCUCCACUCGCCACUUGUCACUCGCUUCUAUAUGUAUGCCAUGCAUGCGUGCGAAUGAUCUACUUAUGAAUGAAUGCGUGGCUCCUGUAUCAAAUAGAGCCCUGGAGCGAACUCCGUUAAUCAAAACCAUACCUGCCACAAGGCGAUGCUCCUCCGCCUCCGCAGGUUCCUCGGCCUGAACCUGAGCUGCAAAUACCCGUCCGCUCGGGGCCGAUCGCGCCAUCUCAGGUUGACGCGGUGUCAUCGCGCGUCCUGUCGACGCGGCCGUCGGUGGAGCUCCUCCAUAAUAUGCCGGAAUCGCCGGCGCCGAUGCAAUCGAUGGGGCAGGUGAGGCUCCUCCUCCCGGGCAGUCCCGAAUGAAGUGCCCCGGUUGCCCACACUUGUAGCACUUGCCCCGGCCUUGUUCACAGCGCGAAACUGGGUGGUCUCCGCAGCAUACAAUGCAUCGCCGCGCUCCACCGUUUUUCUGUUGAGCGCGCGGGUACUUCGGGGGUCUCUUAUAACGUGCUUGACCACCCGAACUACCGCCGCCUUGGCGUUUCUUGCCCUUAUCCUUGGACUCCGCCAAAAGCUCACGCUUCUCCCGCACGUGGGCAUCUCCGUGCUCCGCCCAUAGGGCUCGAUCAAAGACCUCAGCAAAGGUCGUGAGCUUGAGUAUUUGCACGGCCUUGUAGAUUCCCGGCCGAAGUCCUCGCAAGAACCACUCGGCCCGGUCCCGGUCAUCCUUUACAACAUCCGGGACACAAUCUAUGAUGUGGGAGAAUUCCUGUUCAUACUCCGCCACUGGGCGGUCCCCUUGCUCUAGCUUGCCGAACUUCUCCUUGAGCUUCCGCUUCAAUGUAUCGGGGAAGUAGUUGGCGAACAUCUCCCGCUUGAAUUCCUCCCACAGCAUCGGCGGAAGGCCGGGAAGCCGAUCCCACUUGACGCGCUUCCACCAAACCUUUGCCGCCCUUUCCAAGCAAUGGGUGGCGAGAUACACCUUGUCCCUCUCCAAGGUACGCAAGUCGUCGAAGAGGGUUUCCAUCGAGUCGAUCCAAGACUCGACCAUUGCCGGUUCCACCUUCUCACCCUCAAAGGUCGGCGGAUGGAACUUGUUGAACUUGAUAAGAGCCGCUAGCGCACGCUCUCCUUCCACGUCUUCGGCCGUCACGUCGGGUGUAGUCGAUCCCGACGCCGCCGGUGGCACGAUCGCCGGCGGGGGACGCGCCGCCACCGGGACCGCCGCUAUGCCCUCACCCUCAGCUGGCUCAGGUACACGAGCCGAGGGCGCGGGCACAUCGCGUCCGUCCGUCGCCGUUGCGGCCGCUGCCGCUGCCUGCCGCUCCAAGAGCUCCUGGAGCCGCUCGAAUCGGUUCUCCUGGCGCUGCACCACAUCGGUCAGCGCGGACACUUGCGCUUGCAACCGAUCCAUCACGCUCGGUUCUCCCUGCUCGGGCACCUCAGGAGUCGGUGCCGGAGUAGAUCUACGUGUGUAGCGUCUUGGAGACAUUAGUCCCUGAAACGCAAAUACUCGGUUAAUCAUCUUAACCCGUUAACCUCGUCGCAAUUACGACACAUGACAACUUAAUGGCAAAAUCGGGCGGAAGCAUACAAGUGUACUCGUUCUAGGCUCUUGGCAUCAUGUCGUCGGCCGCCGACACAACCACCUCAAGAUAAGAACUUAUACCACUUGAAUUCGUCUCUAAUCACAACUAGAGACCUAUACCCACUUCGACCCAAUCGAAUUGACUUCCGCCAUCGUUAUAGGUUCACGUUCCGCUCACGCACCUAUAACCUUAGGGCUCACCAACCUAGGGUCUCCUAGGUCAUCCUAGACUUUCUCUCUUUACUUGCUCUCAUUGCUCUGAUACCACAAAAGACUGUCACGCCCCGCCCCGAAGCCACUACCAAUUUGUCACGGUUCGGUCGCGGCGACAGACCGCCGAACGGACAGCACCUCCCCUAUCCGCCCAAGGCUCAACAACAGGAAUGUGUACAAGAAUUUACCCAGGACUUUAAAUUCUAAACAUACACAUUCAACGAGGGCACAAACAGUGCCAACAACGAGAAGAGCAAGUAAUCCACAAGAUAUACGAGUGAAAUAAAGAGAGUACUUNNNNNNNNNNNNNNNNNNNNNNNNNCGAAGGCUUAAGGAGCGGAUUUGCCGCAAUGUGCAAUUAGGCGCUCCAAAAGUGGAUUUUGAUACAUAAGAGGGUUUUCUUCUCAGAUUGACCCUUCUCUAACCUAAUUGUGGUCUAUGCAACGCUACGGUGCGCUCGUUCGUCGAUCCGACGGUGUUACGCCGAAUAUUUGAGGAUCGAAGCGUUAAGCGGUACGAUGCCGCAGCUCGCCAGGCGAAAGCUUGCCAAAUCUGGAAAUGGAAUCGUAGCUGUGGUGUUUUGGGGAAUAAAUCCCAGAAUAGACGUAUGCGCGGAUGAGUAUUUUGGCAGUCGCGCGUGGUUGGGUGCGAGGCCGUGCGCGGCAUGCGCCGCCAGGCGCCGAUGCCGAGUGACGCACGAGCAAGUCGAACGCUAUAGAAAGGUGGUGAGUGUCCAUCCCGAAGCCAUCGGCUCCCUUUUGUCUUAAGUUUAUAUGAUUCAGCUAUGCAUUAAUUGACAUCUUGGCAUUGUGGGUAUAAAUGAGGUGUGGUUCUAUACCUUGCAUGUUCCUUGGUAAAUAAUAUUUGGCUAGUAUUUAUAUCUAGCAUGCUUAGGUUUAUAUCAUGUGAUGUGAACCCUAUAAUCGAGAGAUAAGUGUGAUGGGAAUUUAGUAAUGUAUUGACUAUUGCCAUUGGAAAUUGUAAAGAACGAGUGAAUCUAGUUUGAUAGUCAAACAAAGAACGAGUGACAUAUGUGGCAGUCAAGUGUAUAUAAACCUAGGACUAUAUGAUGAUUAAUAACCUAGAGGAAUCAGGGUAUUCUCGAGAUGAGGAUUGGAUCAUGCUCGCGGUCUGUUAAAUCUUGAUGAUGGAACCCACACAAGUAUGCCGCUCCGGCAUGUUGGUCCGCAGGAUGCCAAUGGCAGCGCCAGAAACGGUACCUGGUCCCCGAUAGUGUGAAGUGUAAUUCUCUACCUAUUCGAGAAUGGCUAGUGAGCUGUGGCGAGCCUUCGGUAAGCCAUUGAGAUUAAUAACAAGUAAGUAUGAGUUAAUGAAACGAGGUGAAUAGGUUCACUUGGACAUGAUAACAGGUUAGUGCUUACCUAUUUCAUUGUACAUGCAGUUGGCAUAUAUUAUGAGUGGGCAUAGGUAAGAGUAGUGUUUACUCGCUGUCAUUAUCGCCGUCCUUAUCUAUCUACUAUCGAUUAUCUAACUUCCGAUUGGACCUAGUGGGGAGAACGCGGAGUCGCCGGCGACGAAACCCACUGGAAACUAAGGAAGUUAGUUUCUCACCGCCCAUUUUACUACAGGGCCGAGCGCGAGUUCACACGGCGAGAUCGGGCGUAAGCCCGCCUUAGUGCCCUAGUUUGCAUUAGGCUACUUCCCUAUUUCUGCAUUAGAGUCACCUUUAUGCUUUGGAGAGUAGACGAUGUAUGGAUGUGAGAUAUUCUGCGAGAAGUAAGCAAUGUUCUAUAUUUGGAAGAUGAAGCUUUUAUUAUGUUUUGGAGGUUCAAUUGUAAUCAUUGUAUUAUAAGAAGCGUUGAAUGAAUGUAAUAGAUUAGAUGCGUCUCUCUUUAUCAAUUACUUGUGAGUGUUCUAUACUUGUAUCUUGCUCUUGGUGCGUGUGCACUGAUUGUGCUCUCGUUCUACAUUAUGAUGUGUAUGUAUUCAAGGUGUUUUUCCUGGUGGGACUUGUUGUAUCACUAUCUUGUUGUUAGCCUUGGGCGGACCAGGGAGUGCUGUCCGUCCGGCGUCUUUGAGCGCCGCCGCCCGAACCACAUUGGGUCAGCUGCGACGCGGGCGUGAACACCUAGUUUCAGUGUAUCCUCACUCGUCGGAGAGAUAGAUCUAGCUCACAGUCUGCGUUUAGGGUGUAUAGCCAUCCAUCCCACAAUAAAGGGGAUUUGCUCGUCGAGUUACUCCGGAGGUCUGCGGCGACUGGACCACUUGGAGGUCACGGACCACAAUGGAGUCGGCAGACGGUCCGCCGGCUUGGAGUUGCACUUGGAGCUCCUCCCAACUUUGGAUUGAAAGCUGUCAGCCCCGCAGACGCUACCAUUGGUCCGUCCGUGCGCGUCGAACAGACGCCGGACGGACACAGCACCUCCCUGUCCGCCCAAGGCUAAACACAGGAUCAUGUAAAACUAGUUCCCUAGGAAAUCAAACUUGCAAUACAUACAAUGAUCAAACAUAGCGAGGGCACAACCAGUGCCGAACUUCAAGAGCCAAAGAUCACAAGUAUAUAACAAGUGAAUAAAAGAAAGAGAUAUUAACUAUCUAUACAUUCACAUUUGACAUUCAACAUUUCAUCCAUUCAACCUUUAAUACAACUUUGAUUAUAUUUAAGCCCUCCAAAACUGAAUACAUAGAUGCAUCUACAUGGAAUAAUGCUACGCUAUCCAAAAUUAAUAUGUCAUUAUAACCAUGCACAACGAGGGUGACUCUUUACAUAGGAAAGCUCUACUAGCUAGCUAGGGCGGCUACAUGCCCUACCUCGAUACCUGCCUCGGUCGCUCACGUGUGUACUUACCUUCCAAAAACACACGGGGUUGAAAUAAUAGUAAAUAUAGUUCCCAGUGGCUUCGCCGCGCACUCCGCCGAUUUCCACUAGGGGGUCAAGUUGUGCACAGAUAGAGUAGACUAGAGAUACAUUGGAAAUUAAAACUGCUACCUAUAUCUUACUAUGCCAAUUCAAAUGCAAGGAAUGCAUGCGAAUAUCAUUUAUCAUGCUACGUAUGCUUUAAUAAUGUAAUGAAACAAAUACGACACAUAUGCAUUCCACUAACAUUACUAUGUCGUAAUCGUGGUAUAAGUCAAAUCUGCUUAUCAAUUCAUGUCAUUUACCCAAUCCACUAAGGUACCCCGCCUUUCUCAAAUCACAUAAGGUCGAAGGAUACCCCGCCCUUGUUUUCACCGUCAACAACUCUAAACACAUAGGUAAGGAGCACUACCCCGCCUCGUACCCGACUCCAAGAUCUCAAGUCCUAUAGAUGAAGAGCUACCCGGGGUCCGCCCAACCAUGACUCAAAUGCCUAAGGCGCAAGAGCUACCCGCUCUUCGCCGACUCUAACUCAAACUACAUAGUCAAGAGCUCCGCUCGUAGAUAAAGAGCUACCCGCUCGUAGUAAAGAGCUACCCCGCUCAUAGGUAAGGAGCACCCCGUCAUCAGGUAAAGAGUUACCGCACGUCAAAGUAAACGAGCUACCCCGCCUCAAAUCUAACAGGUGAAGAGCUACCCGCCCUUCCACCUGCACUCAUUCUCAGUCCAUAUGGGUAUGGGCAGCGACCUCCGCUCGUAAUCCCCACCCGAUGAGCUACCCCGCUCAUGAGCUAACCCCCUCGGUGACAAUCUUCAAGUUCCACAACACUAGGUUGUAAUGCUCAACCUAUGUUUAACAACAUUAUAUAAUGCCACUCGAUCUAUCCUAUGCUGUUCGCGACACUAGGUUUACGAUGCCACAUUGCCUCAUAAUUAACAAUAGGUUAACAUUCAAUUUCAUCUAGCAUAUAUGUUCUAUAGAAAGCCAACAUGCAUCAUAAUUGCUAAUAUGCCAUUUAUCACAGCAUGCAAUCCUUUCAUAAUGCACUACUGCAAUACAAUCUCCCAUCACACUAUGUCACAUGUCACGAGUUCAUUAACAAGCCAAGUUUCUUUAUUCCUUAUCUACAUAGAUUCAUGUCUCAACUUAAUCAUCAUGCAUUCUACGAGUUUUAAGUGUCAAGUCUAUAAUACUACACAACUAGACAUGCGAAUGCAAGAAAAUUAGAAAUUAUAACUAUCUAUAUCUAUAACUCAUAAGAACCACUAUUAUAUAAAUCAUGAUCAACUAUUUUACUCGGACAUAGAAGGAAGCGCCAUUGCUGUCGGAUAGACACCCCCACCUUUUAACAACAUUCCGAUUGCCGCUCUCACUCGCAAUCGCGUCCACGCGGCGGCACGCCGCUCGCCUCGACCGCUAUCCGCUGCGCGCCACCAAACGACCUCCGAUCACGCGAUGCCGAAAUUAUAGGUCUUCGCUUUCUCGCUAACGGUGCUCAAAUCCCGUUCCACGAUUUUAUGGAAGCGCCUCGACUCCCCAAGGUCAUAUGAACUCGACGCAACACUUGAUCAGCCGGACGUCGCAUCCGCUCGACAAUCGACGAACGCCUCGCUUCCUACGCGUUCGAGACGAAACAAUUAGGUAGUUCUGUGACCACUCAAAAUAGAUCAAACUCCAACUACUUACAAAAACCCACAUUUUUAACCCAUACGGUUUGCGGCAAUUAGUAAAAAUCCACCAUUAGUGGCUUUGAAUUUUAAGCUUUGAAUCAUCUAUUAAGCAUCAAAAGGUCCACUAAAUCCAUUUAUUACAGGAUUAAAACCUAGCUCUAGCUAACUCUACCAUUAAAGCCCUCAUUUUGGACCAUAUAUCUGCAACUACAUGGAAAAAUCCCCAUUAAGCUUUGGAUUCAAGUAUUAAUCAUGAGACUACCUGCUAGCAUUCCAUCUAAAUCAUUCUUAGAGAUGAAACCAACCUAAGAAAAUCACCAUUAGAGCUUAAGCCUACCUUCUGCAAAGCUUACUCCCAAACCCAAGAACAAGAUGAAGAAUGGUGAAGUCCACCUCUUGACCUUCUCUCCUUCUUCUUUCUCCCUUCUUAUCUCUUCUCCCUUCUGUUCUAUUUCGUUUAGAGAGAUUUGAGAGAGGGAGAGAGUAAUGUGAGGGAGUGAGGGAAAUGAGAAAAGAAGAGAGAAUAGACAUGCUCUCUUAAUCCCCUCUUGCAUAUUGUACAUUUCAAUAAGCCCCUCUAAUCUUCUCCAACCUGCAACAGCCCAAACUGGGUGUUUUCUGCUCGGGCACUGGACCCCCUGGUGAUGAGACCCGUCCCCGACGACCAGAAUUCAGGCAUUUUCAGACUUAGCAAAUUUUUCAGCCUUUUUCGUUUCGGGUGCCGUCUUUCGCUCGUUUUUUGCUCGUUUGACCUCCGAUUCUUUUCAAUCGAAACCGGAGACUCUCCAAACAUGUUUUCGAGCAUGUUUCCAUUCAUACUCGUUCAUCUCCGCUAAUGCCGGAUUUAGUUCAUGGUUCACGACAUUAGCCUUUCGGAUCCCGUUCCGCGCUACGCCGCCAGCGCGAAUCGCCCGAUUCACUCCGAACUUCACCAACUUCACGGAAACCCUUCAAAUGGCUCUCCAACCAAAUUUAACACGCAAUAUUCAUAAUUUUAGAAGUCCGGACCUUACAGAAAGAUGGGUUCAUGGGCGAGCCCUAAGGCCUCGCCACAGAUUGGGUGAUGAAAGUUAAAGGUUAAUGAAUGUCAUUGAACAUAGCCUAUUCUCGAACAUGUGAUCGAAUUAGUUAGCGAUGGUACAAACCUUAUUAUAUAUGCAUGCUAUCACUAUUCGAAUGAUUAUGGAUGGUAGCUAUAGUUUUCCUACUACCGCAUUAACAGCUUUUCAUGAAUAUUAUCUAUCUAUCUCCUGUUGUUGCUGUGCCCAUUGGACCUAUGUGGGAGCUCGCAGAGUCGGGCCGAGCCACUGGGAACUGAUGGAAGAUAUUCUCACCCACUUUAUUCCGUGGUAGGUACCGGUUGCCGAGAGAAGGACCGCGCAAGGGCAUCGCGCCCCGAUCAGUUGACCGUGCGUAAUAAAAUAGAUAGCUUUCCUUUUUGCAUUAGCACACUCUCAUGUUUGAGAGAGAUUUCAGGUAGGUGAGAUUGGAGCUAAUGUAUUUUGAGGAUCAAUGUAUUUCAUUUUGGAAAAUGAUGUAAAUGUAAAGAAUGUAAACUAUUAUAAUAGUUAGUUUAGAAAGCAUAAGGAAUGGAGCUACUAUGCAAUCCUACAAUGCAACAUGAAGAGAUGAGAUCAAAUGCAAUCUAAGACAUAGAAAGGAGUUCGAAAGCUUCGGGAUGACACCCCCCACCUUUUACCAACGUAGAGGUUUUAGAAGCGCUCCUCGACGAGCUUUACGAAAAGGCUUUUGCCUUCCCUAAUCCAAGAUAGCGCCGAAACGACCGUAAUUCGCCGAUUGUUCUAAGUCCGCUCGACGAAUCGCGAAAUCGACUUCGCCCCCGCGUUUGGGCACCUAUCGAUGAGGUUUACAAGGCCUCAAAUGAGAUCAAUCUCAUACUUUACAAAAUGCCCCCAUUUGGAGCCCUAGGUUUGCACAUAUAGCAAACCACCAAUAAAAUCCUAGAUUCUUGGGAUUGAUCUACUUAGAAGCAUGCUUGGGGUCCAUUUGACCCAUUCCAAAGCAUAAAACCCAAAAACCCUAAGUUUACAAAGCUAGGGUUUAGUAGCUUACCUCAAGAGCUACACCAAUGGGAAGAGGAGAGGGAGAUGGAGGUGCUCAAAGCCUUCCUCUUGAUCUCCUUCUUCUUCUCCUUCCUUGUCUUCCUCUUCUUUUCCUUCCUCUCCUUCUUGUUCUCCUUCUCCUUCUUUCCUUUCUAGAGAGAGAGGGAGAGAAAUAGAGAGAUGAGAGUGAGAGAGAGGAAUGAGAGAGUGUGAGGGAGAGAGAGGGCCCAGCCCACUCUAAUAAAGGCCAUUUUGCAUUUAGACCCCUCAACUUUUAACCCCUUGCGCAGCCCUCGCUGGGCAGUUUUCGUGCGGAGGGACCGGUCUCCCCGACUUGGGACCGGUCCCCGAGAGCGUCCCUCGGGCGCACGCGUUCGAGUACCGGUCUCUCCCCGGGAGACCGGUCCUCGGGAGACAGGUCCUCGCCUGAGAGACCGGUCCCCGAGAGCUCAAUUUUCAGGACUUAGCCAAAUCUCGGCAUUUCUCGCUGGAACCACGUUCGGGAACCGGUCCCUCACUGCCAGGGACCGGUUGCACCAUGCAACCCCGCACGCCCAGCCGAUGGGACCGGUCUCUCACCUCCAGAGACCGGUCCCCGAGAGCAACUUCAGCCCAAUAAUGCUGUUUGCAUCGUUAGCUCUCGUGGACUCAACUCCAAAGCACUUUUUGUGUUUUGGACAUUUUUAACUUCCCCAGAGGGUAUUCUCUCGACAAAUAGUCGAUCCUGGACGAAUGAUAACUCUCGAAUUUCGAGAAUUCACUUCCUUACACUUGUUCACCCAAAAGGAGUUGAAUAUGCGGCAACGGCGGUGGUUAGAGUUACUAAAAGACUACGAUGUCACUAUACUAUACCACCCCGGUAAAGCCAAUGUCGUAGCCGAUGCGUUGAGUAGAAAAUCGGCGGAUAACCUAGCGACGGCAAUUACGCCUCAACCGCUAUUGCACAAGGAAAUGCAACGUCUUGGGUUGGAAGUGGUAGCGCCGGGAGUGCCGGCUACACUUGCCGCAUUAGUUGUGCAACCGACCCUACUCGAGAGAAUCAAAGAGUCACAAGCUUCGGAUCCGUAUCUCCAAAAGGUUCGAGGUGAAGUUGAGAAAGGUAGUGCCGAAGAUUUUGGCAUUGGAGCUGAUGGCGCACUUCGAUUCCGAAAUUGAUGGUGUGUACCAAAAGAGGAUGAGUUACGAAGGGCAAUCAUGCAAGAAGCACACCAAUCCCCUUAUAGUAUACACCCCGGCGGCACCUAAAUGUACAAGGACUUAAAAGAGCAUUAUUGGUGGCCGGGCAUGAAAAGAGAUAUUGGGGAAUUCGUGGCGCAAUGUCUAACGUGCCAACAAGUGAAAGCCGAGCGCCGAUUCCCGGCAGGAAAGCUACAAAGUUUAUCUAUACCCGUUUGGAAAUGGGAAGACAUAGCGAUGGACUUUGUUACUGGUUUGCCUCGAUCACAAGGCGGACAUGAUGCGAUAUGGGUGAUAGUGGACCGAUUGACAAAGUCGGCACAUUUCUUGCCGAUACAUACUACGUGGUCGGGAGACAAGUUAGCUCAAGUCUAUCUCGAUGAGGUUGUGAGGCUUCAUGGGGUGCCGGUAUCAAUUGUAUCGGAUCGAGACCCCAGAUUCACAUCCCAUUUUUGGAAGCGUUUGCAAGACGCGCUAGGCACACGGCUCAACUUUAGCACGGCGUUUCAUCCUCAAAGUGAUGGACAGUCGGAGCGAACGAUACAAAUCCUUGAGGACUUGCUUCGAGCGUGUGUGCUAGAUUAUAGAGGAGGAUGGCAUGAUUUCUUGCCUAUGGCGGAGUUCGCCUAUAAUAACAGCUAUCAAGAAAGUAUCGCUAUGGCGCCGUUUGAGGCACUAUAUGGACGUAAGUGUCGUUCUCCUAUCCAUUGGAGCGACGUGGGCGAGAGAGCGGCUCUUAGCCCAGAUGUAGUGCGGGAGGCGGAAGAGAAAGUUCGUCUUGCCCGUCAACGGUUGGCGACGGCGCAAUCUCGGCAAAAGAGUUAUGCCGACAAGCGAAGAAAGGAUUUAGAGUUCGCGGUUGGAGACCGUGUAUUUUUGAGAGUGUCGCCAAUGCGAGGAGUCAAACGAUUUGGGGUCCGCGGGAAGCUAAGUCCCCGGUAUGUCGGACCGUUUGAGGUAUUGGAGCGUGUAGGUGCGGUAGCGUACAAGUUCGCCCUACCACCGAAACUCGCGGGAGUUCACAACAUGUUUCAUGUGUCCAAUCUCCGAAAGUAUAUUCGCAACUCGACACAUGUAUUAGAGUACGAGCCCGUAGAGUUACGCGAAGAUAUGUCUUAUGAGGAGUACCCGGUGUGCAUCCUCGAUCGAGAAGAAAGAAAGCUGCGGAGUCGCAGAAUUCCAUAUGUGAAAGUCCAGUGGAGCAACCAUGCGGCGAGAGAAGCCACUUGGGAGCUCGAGGAGACCAUGCGGCGAGAGUAUCCGCAUCUAUUUGAGUCGACGAGUUAAGGUAUGCGUAAUUUCGCGGAGGAAAUUAUUUUAAGGGGUGGAGAAUGUAAUAUACCGAAAAUUCGAAAAUAAAAUAUCGAACUUUAGUCAAAUUGACCAAAGUGCGAGGAUGGUACACUUCGGAAAGUCCGAAGGUGUUAAAAUAAUUAAAAGUGAGUUAUGGGAGGUUUUCGAGAGCUUGGGAAUCAAAUUCUGCAAAACUGCAGAUUUUGAGCUCUCGGGGACCGGUCCCUGGUGGGAGAGACCGGUCCCCGAACGCGUAUGAAGUGAGACAGCCGAAAAAUCGGCAAAGUCCUGAGAAAGUAGCUCUCGGGAACCGGUCCCUGCCUGAGAGACCGGUCCCCGAGAGACCGGUCCCCCAAGGAGAGACCGGAUGCAUCGCGCGCAGCAGCCCUGCGCUGCGCUGGGACAACCUUCGAGAACCGGUCCCUGAAGGAGAGACCGGUCCCUGCCUGCGCGAACUGCCCAGUUCGGGCAGUGUAUUAAAGUGAAAGUUGAGGGGUUUAGUUGCAAUUUGGCAACCCAAUAGCUAUGUUAUGGGGCCUAAUGAGAUAUUUCUCUCAUUUCCUCACCCUCUCACACUCUUUUCUCUCCCUCUCUCUCUCUAGAAGACAAAGGAGAGGAAGAAGACAAGGAAAAAGAAGAAGAAGAAAGUGAAGAAACUCCCUCUCCCUCAUCUCUAGCUUGGAAAAGGAGAGCUUACAAGGUAAGCUUUGAACCCUAAUCAUGGUAGAACCUAAUCUAGGGUUUGGAUUAAGCUUAAAAUGGGUUUUAUGGAAUCAUUUGAGUCUUUUGAAGCUUUCUUUUGCUUCUUUAGAGAUCAAGACUAUGGCAUGAGUGUGUUGGGUGAAGCUUGAGGUGAGCUUGACCCCUCUCAUGGUGAAAUCCAAACUAGGGUUUGGAGUGAGCUAAGAAUGGUUUAGAUGGACUAUUUAGAGUAUAAUGAAGCUAAUUUUGCUUCUCAAUGAGAUCAAACCCUAGGUUUGAUAUAUGUAUUGGAGCUAGGGCACCAAAUUGGGGCUUUUGCUCAUAGAGAUUUAUAAGUGCAAUUGACCCUCUAGAAACCUAAUUGGGGGUAUUUCCGAUGCGUUGGUGCGCUCGGAAAAGCAUUUCGAAAAGUGUACGUAAAGUUAUGAGCAAAAUGGCCUAAGAUGGCUUCGUUUUGCUGCAGGUAAAGAACGGGGAAUCUAAAAAUCUCAAGAAAAUUGUCGGAGCACCUAAGUAAACCUAUGAGGUGGGUGGUGCUUUCCAAACUUAUUGAAAUUCUCUCUAUGCCUAAUGUGUCAUUCAUUUGAGCAUAUGUUAUAUAAUUGUUGCAUGCAUUUAGGGUUAAGUAAUGAAAAGAAUGUGAUGUUUGCAUGAUUGUGAGUACAACUUGCAUAAUGAGAUGGUUGAGAACCUUAUGAAUGUUAAGAACCCUAUAUGUAUGCAUGAGAUGAAAAGUGAGUACCAAAGUGAGGCAAAAGAACCGAGUGGCACAUGACAUAGAUCGAGUGGCAUUUGAAAAUGUAAAGUAAAGUGACACUAGAGUUAGUGUGAGGCAAAGAACUAACGUGAGGUAAAGAAUGAUGACAAUGAUCAAAGCUAAAGUAAAGUGAAGCAAAGAACGUGAAAUGAGUAAAGAACAUGAAAGCUAAAGAUAGCCAAAAGCAAAGAAAUGUAAAGAACUUGAUUGCUAGAGUUAGCAACAUAAAGUGAUGUAAAGAACACUAGAGUUAGUGUAAUGACAAGAUUGAACUUACAAUCCUUUGAGUUAAGGAUUCGAUCAUACUUGCUAUGAGUUCCGUGCUCGAGGGCGGUCGCUCCCCCUCGGGCGAUGCGCUCCGGAGUUAUGCAUCACGGGUUGGAGUAAACCCGAAGGACGGUCCUAGCGGGUGAGUUCCUGCGAUGAUGGACUUAAUGUGAAGCAAGCUUAAAGUGGCGAAACCCCCGGGUUAGCCUUGAGAUUAAAGAACAGAGAGCAAAGAGUAAAGGAUAAAGAAUAAAGAACAAAGAGUAAAGACAAAGAAUGAAAGAACUUGCAUAAUUUGCAUAUAUUCAAUGUUGAGCAUAUUUCCUGCUUUUGUUCAGGCAUAUUAGCAUCAUAUUAUAGUUGGUUACUAUUCUACCUAUCCUUUCUAUUAUGCCUGAGUUAGUCCUAGUGGGAAAGUCGGUGAUGUUGAGGCCGAACCCACUGGGAACUUUGUUGUAGUUCUCACCCCACUAUUUCCACAGAGCCGGGACCGAGCGAGCCGGCGAGCGACCGAGGUAAAGGUAUCGCGCCUUAGACAGAGGCCACCAGAGUUGGGUUUACCUUUUGUUAGUAGCUACCCUAUGUUCAUCUUUUCUAUUUGAUGACUAGUGAUGUAAAAAAAAGAAUGUAAAGCUUAAUUGAGAUAAAUGUGAUGUAAGAAUGAAAUGAUGAAAUGAUGUAAUGAAUAGCAAGGAAUCAAGAAUGUAAGAGAAGAAUACAUGUAUGUGAUCUAAAGUGAAUCAUACUACUUGUGUAGAUGUUUAGUUUCCUAUCUUUCACUAAUGGCUAUUGCUUACCCUCGUGUAAGCCAUUUUUGUAUGUUUCCGCUAGUGCAUUUCUUGUUUGAAUUUGUACAUGUGAUGAGCCUUGAACGGAUAGGGGAAACUCUGUCCGUUCGGCGUCGAUUUGACGUGCUCGGGCCGGCCCAAAUUGGUAUCGGUCCCGGGGCGUGACAGUUACGCCCUAACAGUAUAACUUUACAAACAGUACUUUUUCUCAUUCAAUCGAACGAAGAGUAAAACCAAAUUAUAUUAUUCUAUUAUGUCCCAAGAAUGCAAAUUUGCAAUGUAUCGAUGUCAACGUUCACAAGAAUCAAAACCGGAAGAACAUUAGAAUACUCAGUUGCGCCCUAACAGCAUAACUUUGCAAUGAGUACUUUUUCUCCUUCAACCGAACAAAGAAUAAAACCUAAUUAUAUUAUUCUAUUAAGCCCCGAGAGUGUAAAUUUGCAACGUAUCGAUGUCAACGUUCAUAAGAACCAAAACCGAAAAAAUAUUACACUACUCAGUUGCUCCCUAAUAGUAUAAUUUUGCAAUGAGUACUUUUUCUCAUUUAAUCGAACAAAGAGUAAAACCUAAUUAUAUUCUUCUAUUAUGCCCUAAGAGUGUAAAUUUACAAUGUAUCGAUGUCAACAUUCACAUGAACCAAAACCGAUACAACAUUAGACAACUCAGUUACGCCCUAACAAUAUAACUUUGCAAAUAGUACUUUUUCUCAUUCAAUCGAACAAAGCGUAAAACCAACUUAUAUUAUUCGAUUAUGCCCCGAGAAUGUAAAUUUGCAACGUAUCGAUGUCAACAUUCACAAGAACAAAAACCGGAAGAACAUUUGACUUCUCAGUUGCGCCCUAACAACAUAACUUUGCAAAUAGUGCUUUUUCUCAUUCAAUCGAACAGAGAGUAAAACCUAAUUAUAUUGUUCUAUUCUGCCCCGAGAAUGUAAAUUUCCAACGUAUCGAUGUCAACGUUCAUAAGAAACGAAACCGAAAAAAUUUUAAACUACUCAGCUGCUCCCUAACUGUAUAACUUUGCAAUGAGUACUUUUUCUUAUUCAAUCGAACAAAGAGUAAAACCUAAUUAUAUAGUUCUAUUAUGGCCUGAGAGUAAAAGUUUGCAAUGUAUCGAUGUCAACGUUCACAAGAACAAAAACAGGAAAAACAUUAGACUACUCAAUUGCUCCCUAAUAGUAUAACUUUACAAUGAGUACUUUUUCUCAUUCAACCGAACAAAGAGUAAAACCUAAUUAUAUUGUUCUAUUAUUCCCCGAGAGUGCAAAUUUGCAACGUAUUGAUGUCAACGUUCACAAAAACCAAAAUCGGUCCAACAUUAGACUACUUAGAUGCGCCCUAACAGUAUAACUUUACAACGAGUACUUUUUCUUCUUCACUAAAAAAAGAGUAAACCCUAAUUAUAUUGUUCUAUUAUGCCUCGAGAGUGUAAAUUUGUAACGUAUCGAUGUCAACGUUCACAAGAAACAAAACCGAAAAAAUUUUAGACUACUCAGUUGCUCCCUAAUAGUAUAAAUUUGCAAUGAGUACUUUUUAUCAUGCAAUCGAACAAAGAGUAAAACCUAAUUAUAUUGUUCUAUAAUGCACCGAGAGUGUAAAUUUGCAACGUCUCGAUGUCAACGUUCACAUGAACCAAAACCGGAACAACAUUAGACAACUCAGUUGCGCCCUUACAAUAUAACUUUGCAACGAGUACUUUUUCUAAUUCAACUGAACAAAGAGUAAAACAUAAUUAUAGAGUUCAAUUAUGCCCUGAGAGUAUAAAUUGGCAGUGUAUCAAUGUCAACGUACACACGAACCAAAACCGGACCAACAUUAGACUACUCAGUUGCGCCCUAAUAGUACAACUUUGCAACGAGUGCUAUUUCUCAUUCAACCGAACAAAGAGUAAAACCUAAUUAUAUUGUACUAUUAUGUCCCGAGAGUAUAAAUUUGCAACGUAUCAAUGUCAACGUUCACAAGAAUACUCAGCUACGCCCUUACAAUAUAACUUUGCAACGAAUACUUUUUCUCCUUCAACCGAACAAAGCGUAAAACCUAAAUAUAUUGUACUAUCAUGCCCCGAGAGUGUAAAUUUGCAACGUAUCUAUGUAAUGUUCACAAGAACCAAAACCUGAAGAACAUUACACUACUCAGUUGCGCCCUAACAGCAUAACUUUGCAAACAGUGCUUUUUCUCAUUCAAUCGAACAAAGAGUAAAACCUAAUUAUAUUGUUCUAUUAUGCCCUGAGAGUAUAAUUUGCAACGUAUCGAUGUCAACGUUCACAAAAACCAAAACCGGACAAACAUUAGACUACACAGUUGCGCCCUAACAGUAUAACUUUACAACGAGUACUUUUUCUCCUUCAACCGAACAAAGAGUAAAACCUAAAUAUAUUAUACUAUUAUGCCCCGAGAGAGUAAAUUUGCAACGUAUCUAUGUAAUGUUCACAAGAACCAAAACCAGAAGAACAUUAGAUUACUCAGUUGCGCCCUAACAGCAUAACUUUGCAAACAGUGCUUUUUCUCAUUCAAUCGAACAAAAAGUAAAACCUAAUUAUAUUGUUCUAUUAUACGCCGAGAGUGUAAAUUUGUAACUUAUCGAUGUCAUCGUUCGCAAGAACCAAAACCGGACCAACAUUUGACUACACAGUUGCGCCCUAACAGUGUAACUUUACAACAAGUACUUUUUAUCCUUCAACCGAACAAAAGAGUAAAACCUAAAUAUAUUGUAUUAUUAUGCCCCGAGAGUGUAAAUUUGCAACGUAUCUAUGUAACGUUCACAAGAACCAAAACCGGAACAACAUUAGACUACUCGGUUGCGCCCUAACAACAUAACUUUGCAAACUGUUCUUUUUCUCAUUCAAUCGAACAAAGAGUAAAAUCCAAUUAUGUUGUUCUAUUAUAUGCCGAGAGUAUAAAUUUGCAACUUAUCGAUGUCAUCGUUCAUAAGAACCAAACCGGACGAACAUUAGACUACUCAGUUGCGCCCUAACAGCAUAACUUUGCAAUGAGUACUUUUUCUCCUUCAAUCGAACAAAGAGCAAAACCAAAUUAUAUUGUUCUAUUUUGCCCCGAGAGAGUAAAUUUGUAACGUAUCGAUAUCAACGUUCACAAAAACCAAAAUCGGAGCAACAUUAGACUACUCAGCUGCGCCCUUUCAAUAUAACUUUGCAACGAAUACUUUUUCUCAUUCAACUGAACAAAGAGUAAAACCUAAUUAUGUUGUUCUAUUAUGCCCCGAGAGUAUAAAUUUGCAGCGUAUCGAUAUCAACGUUCACACGAACCAAAACCGGACCAACAUUAGACUACUCAGUUGCGCCCUAAUAGUAUAACUUUGCAACGAGUAAUUUUUCUCAUUCAACCGAACAAAGAGUAAAACUAAAUUAUAUUAUUCUAUUAUGCCCCGAGAGUAUAAAUUUGGAACGUAUCGAUGUCAACGUUCACAAGAACUAAAACCGGAAUAACAUUAGACUACUCAGUUACGCCCUAACAGUAUAACUUUGCAAACAGUACUUUUUCUCAUUCAAUCGAACAAAGAGUAAAACCAACUUAUAUUAUUCUAUUAUGCCCCGAGACUGUAAAUUUGCAACGUAUUGAUGUCAUCGUUCACAAGAACCAAAACCGGAAGAAAAUUAGACUACUCAGUUGCGCCCUAACAACAUAACUUUGCAAACAGUGCUUUUUCUCAUUCAAUCGAACAAAAAGUAAAAUCUAAUUAUAUUGUUCUAUUACGGCCUGAGAGUGUAAGUUUGCAACGCAUCGAUGUCAACGUUCACAAGAACCAAAACGAGAAAAACAUUAGACUACUCAGUUGCUCCCUAAUAGUAUAACUUUACAACGAGUAUUUUUUCUCAUUCAACCGAACAAAGAGUAAAACUAAUUAUAUUGUUCUAGUAUGCCCCGAGAGUGUAAAUUUGCAACGUAUUGAUGUCAACGUUCAAAAAAACCAAAACCGAACCAACAUUAGACUACUCAGUUGCGCCCUAACAGUAUAACUUUACAACGAGUACUUUUUCUUCUUCAACCGAACAAAGAGUUAAACCUAAUUAUAUUUUUCUAUUAUGCCCCGAGAGUGUAAAUUUGCAACGUAUCGAUGUCAACAUUCACAAGAAACGAAACCGAAAAAAUUUUAAACUACUCAGUUGCUCCCUAACAGUAUAACUUUGCAAUGAGUACUUUUUCUUAUUCAAUCGAACAAAGAGUAAAACCUAAUUAUAUUGUUCUAUUAUGCCCCGAGAGUGUUAAUUUGCAACGUAUCGAUGUCACGUUUACAAGAACCAAAACCGGAACAACUUAUGACUACUCAGUUACGCCCUAACAGUAUAACUUUGCAAACAGUACUUUUUCUCAUUCAAUCGAACAAAGAGUAAAACCAAAUUAUAUUAUUCUAUUAUGCCCCGAGAUUGUAAAUUUGCAACGUAUAGAUGUCAGCGUUCACAGGAACCAAAACCGGAAGAACAUUAGACUACUCAGUUGCGCACUAACAGCAUAACUUUUCAAUGAGUACUUUUUCUCCUUCAACCGAACAAAGAAUAAAACCUUAUUAUAUUGUUCUAUUAUGCCCCGAGAGUGUAAAUGUGCUUUGGAGCAACCACGACGAGCGCGAGGCCACUUGGGAGUUGGAGAGCGCACUGCGGGAGCGCUAUCCCCAUCUUUUUCAGAUGGAUGCUUGAGGUACUGGUCUUUUCGAGUUUUGCGGACGAAACUCCUUUUUAGGAGGGGUGAAUGUAACCCACUGGACCUUUGCAAAUUGCGAGGUUCGAGUGAUUGGAUGUGUACCGAGCUGUUCCACACUUGGUGGAGGGUCGUAGAAUGUUUUCCGACCUAAAAAGUUCGAACCUGAAUUUUGGAUGAGUCCUGAGAGUUUUUACUCUGGGGGACCGGACCCUGAGAGGAGAGACCGGUCCCCCAGUGAGCAGUGUGCGGCAGCUGGCGAGGCAACCGGUCCCUGGCAGGCGAGACCAGUCCCUGAGCGCGUCUACGCGGGGAGAGACCGGUCCGGUGCGGGGAGAGACCGGUUCCCGAACGUGGUUUUUCUGGGGGCAGGCCGAGAGACCGGUCCCAUGUCGGGGAGACCGGUCCCUCUGGGCGAAAACUGCCCAGUCCGAGCUUUGCACAGGGAGCAAAGUUGAGGGACUUAGUUGGAUUUUGUUACACUAGAUGGCCUAUAUGGCCACUCCACUCUCCCUUCUCCUCAUUUCUCCCCUCACACCCUCUCCACACCUUUGUUAGAGAGAGAAGAAGGAGGAGAAGAAGAAGGAGAAGAAGAGGAGGAGGAUCUAGCUUGGACUUGGAGCUUUUCUUUUUCCUCUCCUUCUCUUCCCACCUUGUUGUUGCUUGAAGGCUUAGACUUGGAGCUUGCAAGAGAGGAGACCUUCACCCUCGGAGCUUGGAUUGAAGCUUCUAAGGAGGUUAGUUGCUCUUUUCCUUCCUCUAGACCUUGAUUUGUUGGUUUUUAGGAGAUGGAACCCUAGAAUGGGAUCUUAGGGUU
Molecule: long non-coding RNA, 29809 nt
Filed under: Ananas comosus (pineapple)
Lineage: Eukaryota; Viridiplantae; Streptophyta; Magnoliopsida; Poales; Bromeliaceae
Description: long non-coding RNA (ACOM_LNC031543)
Source: RNAcentral